This 557-nucleotide ribosomal RNA is filed under the name Bifidobacterium breve. RNAcentral's name for it is "bacterial SSU rRNA". It matches the Rfam family "Bacterial small subunit ribosomal RNA", at positions 146 to 711 of the family's 1533-position model. Lineage: Bacteria; Bacillati; Actinomycetota; Actinomycetes; Bifidobacteriales; Bifidobacteriaceae. The record is from RNAcentral.
UCUCCUGGAAAACGGGUGGUAAUGCCGGAUGCUCCAUCACACCGCAUGGUGUGUUGGGAAAGCCUUUGCGGCAUGGGAUGGGGUCGCGUCCUAUCAGCUUGAUGGCGGGGUAACGGCCCACCAUGGCUUCGACGGGUAGCCGGCCUGAGAGGGCGACCGGCCACAUUGGGACUGAGAUACGGCCCAGACUCCUACGGGAGGCAGCAGUGGGGAAUAUUGCACAAUGGGCGCAAGCCUGAUGCAGCGACGCCGCGUGAGGGAUGGAGGCCUUCGGGUUGUAAACCUCUUUUGUUAGGGAGCAAGGCAUUUUGUGUUGAGUGUACCUUUCGAAUAAGCACCGGCUAACUACGUGCCAGCAGCCGCGGUAAUACGUAGGGUGCAAGCGUUAUCCGGAAUUAUUGGGCGUAAAGGGCUCGUAGGCGGUUCGUCGCGUCCGGUGUGAAAGUCCAUCGCUUAACGGUGGAUCCGCGCCGGGUACGGGCGGGCUUGAGUGCGGUAGGGGAGACUGGAAUUCCCGGUGUAACGGUGGAAUGUGUAGAUAUCGGGAAAGAACACCA